RNAcentral lists this ribosomal RNA (465 nucleotides) under Triticum aestivum (bread wheat). RNAcentral's name for it is "partial small subunit ribosomal RNA". The record is from RNAcentral. Lineage: Eukaryota; Viridiplantae; Streptophyta; Magnoliopsida; Poales; Poaceae.
AUGGAAUCUUAUCGUAUUUGCAAUUUAAAGGGGGACGCUAAGAUCUUGCUUCGUAAUUUUUACAUAGGAUUGGCUUUGCAUCAUAGACAACUCCUAGAUUUUGCCGCUAAAGGGAAUUUUAUUGACCUUGAUGCCAAUGUUGCCUACGAAAUUUUAGAAGGAAUUUUGGGAGUUCCACCUCAAAAGAAAGGGUUUUCUUUCACCCCUGAGGGAGUUCAAAUGUUGGACAAACUUGGUGAUUUGCAUAAACAUAUGGUUGCAAUACAAAAAUAUAAUGAACCCCUCAAAUAUCUCAAUGGUAGUAUCAAUCGCAUGAAUACCUUGAUUACUCUUUGCAACAAGCGAUUGGAUAUUUUGGAUCUAAAGAUGGUUUAUAUUCCUGAGAAUUUAGGGAAGCGUAAAGAGUCUCCCGGGUUUGAGAAAACCCUUACCAAAGUAGCCAAAACAACGGAUGACAAAACUUAG